Molecule: ribosomal RNA, 851 nt
Filed under: uncultured bacterium
Lineage: Bacteria
Description: bacterial SSU rRNA
Rfam family: Bacterial small subunit ribosomal RNA
Source: RNAcentral
AGAGUUUGAUCCUGGCUCAGAACGAACGCUGGCGGCGUGCCUAACACAUGCAAGUCGAGCGAGAAAGGGGAGCAAUCCCUGAGUAAAGCGGCGAACGGGUGAGUAAUACGUAGGUAACCUACCUUGAAGCUUGGGACAACCUGUCGAAAGACGGGCUAAUACCGGAUAUGACCACGACACCUUCGGGUGCAGCGGUAAAAGGUGGCCUCUUCACGAAAGCUAUCACUUCAAGACGGGCCUGCGCACCAUUAGCUAGUUGGUAGGGUAACGGCCUACCAAGGCGACAAUGGUUAGCUGAUCUGAGAGGAUGAUCAGCCACACUGGAACUGAAACACGGUCCAGACUCCUACGGGAGGCAGCAGUGGGGAAUAUUGCGCAAUGGGGGAAACCCUGACGCAGCAACGCCGCGUGAGUGAUGAAGGCCCUCGGGUCGUAAAGCUCUGUCGGAGGGGAAGAAACUAAAAAUGGCUAAGCGUUGUUCGGAAUUACUGGGCGUAAAGCGCGUGUAGGCGGUUCAUUAAGUCAGGUGUGAAAGCCCUCGGCCUAACCGAGGAAGUGCGCCUGAAACUGAUGGGCUUGAGUACGAGAGAGGAGGACGGAAUUCCCAGUGUAGAGGUGAAAUUCGUAGAUAUUGGGAGGAACACCGGUGGCGAAAGCGGUUCUCUGGAUCGAUACUGACGCUGAGACGCGAAAGCGUGGGGAGCAAACAGGAUUAGAUACCCUGGUAGUCCACGCCGUAAACGAUGGAUAUUAGGUGUUGCGGGCUUAACCCUCGCAGUGCCGACGCUAACGCAUUAAAUAUCCCGCCUGGGGAGUACGGCCGCAAGGUUAAAACUCAAAUGAAUUGACGG